Long non-coding RNA from Cyprinus carpio carpio, 424 nucleotides. Lineage: Eukaryota; Metazoa; Chordata; Actinopteri; Cypriniformes; Cyprinidae. The record is from Ensembl.
AAAUUAAACACUAAUUUAAUUCAUAGUUUUAUUUUUCUAUAGGUUAAGCACCUUUUCGUAAAUAUGGCUGUUUCCCAGUUUUAUUUUUUUUUUGUUUUUUUAUUUUUUUUUUUUUUUGUUUUUUUUUAGGAUUUACAUUUAAAAAAAUGAGCCUACUUCAAACAUUUUAAGCAGCUUGAACAAAACCUGUUAAUAUUUAUUAUAGACCACUGUAACUGUCUAUUAUCUAAAAAAAAACAAAUUUAUUAUGAAAAUAAAAGUGUGUACACCAGUUAAACUGGACGAUAAAGAAAUUGCUAACAAUAGUUUAAUAGAGCAUGUUUUAGGUUUAUAGGUGUUUAGAUGCAGAAAUUUAAUUUAAUUAAAUAUAGAUUAAUUCUUGUUAGAGCAAAAAAAAAAAAAAAAAAAAUAAUAAUAAUAAUAA